CCUACGGGUGGCAGCAGUGAGGAAUAUUGGUCAAUGGACGCAAGCCUGAACCAGCCAAGCAGCGUGCAGGAAGACGGCUCUAUGAGUUGUAAACUGCUUUUGUACAAGGGUAAACGCAGAUACGCGUAUCUGUCUGAAAGUAACGUACGAAUAAGGAUCGGCUAACUCCGUGCCAGCAGCCGCGGUAAUACGGAGGAUUCAAGCGUUAUCCGGAUUUAUUGGGUUUAAAGGGUGCGUAGGUGGUCGGAUAAGUUAGAUGUGAAAUCCCGAGGCUCAACCUCGAAAUUGCAUUUGAUACUGUUCGUCUAGAGUGUAGUUGCGGUAGGCGGAAUGUAUGGUGUAGCGGUGAAAUGCUUAGAGAUCAUGCAGAACUCCGAUUGCGAAGGCAGCUUACCAAGCUACUUCUGACGUUGAGGCACGAAAGCGUGGGUAUCAAACAGGAUUAGAUACCCCGGUAGUC
This 460-nucleotide ribosomal RNA is filed under the name uncultured bacterium. RNAcentral describes it as "partial 16S ribosomal RNA". It matches the Rfam family "Bacterial small subunit ribosomal RNA", at positions 338 to 795 of the family's 1533-position model. The record is from RNAcentral.